UGCCUAUGCCUGCUUUCUCUUUGCCCC
Molecule: non-coding RNA, 27 nt
Filed under: Homo sapiens (human)
Lineage: Eukaryota; Metazoa; Chordata; Mammalia; Primates; Hominidae
Source: RNAcentral